CUACAUCAUAACUUUCAAAGGGUUAACCAAAUACCACAUAAGAACCAAUUAGAGUGUCCCCAUUACAACAAAGUCCCAUGUGACCCUAAGCCAUUCCUCUUUCUUUUGGUGUUGCUGAUGGACACUCCAAAAUUCCGCAAUGAAAAAUAACCAGUAGUCGUGUAGAGAAACAGUGAAUCCAGUAGAAGAUGACGUCGGACAAAAAAACCAACAAACCCUGAAGAAUAAACUGGUCAUCCUCCAUCCGCACACCUGCGGGUAUGCCUGGACCAUUAUGGCACUCCAAUUAGGAAGCUGUAAGACAGAGAAACGAGAUGGUAAAAUGUGUUCUUGGAUAAUAUUUUUCCACGUUCAUAUUCCAAAGCUAUCUAAAACACAAUCAUUCUCAUGUUAUUCACUCAAAUGGAAAAUAAAAUAACACAACACAUUAUCACACGGCUCAAGUCCCAUAACAUACAUUACAUUCCCAGAGGAGGGCAACUUACCUUUAGUGGGUGGGAUAAUACUCG
Non-coding RNA from Pelobates cultripes (western spadefoot toad), 509 nucleotides. NCBI's taxonomy places the organism in Eukaryota, Metazoa, Chordata, Amphibia, Anura, Pelobatidae. The record is from the annotation of a GenBank genome assembly.